CAGCCGCCACGGUAAAACGGAGGGUGCAAGCGUUAAUCGGAAUUACUGGGCGUAAAGCGCACGCAGGCGGUCUGACAAGUCAGAUGUGAAAUCCCCGGGCUUAACCUGGGAACUGCAUUUGAAACUGUCAGGCUGGAGUCUUGUAGAGGGGGGUGGAAUUCCAGGUGUAGCGGUGAAAUGCGUAGAGAUCUGGAGGAAUACCGGUGGCGAAGGCGGCCCCCUGGACAAAGACUGACGCUCAGGUGCGAAAGCGUGGGGAGCAAACAGGAUUAGAUACCCCUGUAGUCCCUGUCUCUUAUAC
Molecule: ribosomal RNA, 301 nt
Filed under: uncultured bacterium
Lineage: Bacteria
Description: partial 16S ribosomal RNA
Rfam family: Bacterial small subunit ribosomal RNA
Source: RNAcentral